CAGUCGCCGCGGUAAUACGGAGGGAGCUAGCGUUGUUCGGAAUUACUGGGCGUAAAGCGCGCGUAGGCGGUUACUCAAGUCAGAGGUGAAAGCCCGGGGCUCAACCCCGGAACUGCCUUUGAAACUAGGUGACUAGAAUCUUGGAGAGGUCAGUGGAAUUCCGAGUGUAGAGGUGAAAUUCGUAGAUAUUCGGAAGAACACCAGUGGCGAAGGCGACUGACUGGACAAGUAUUGACGCUGAGGUGCGAAAGCGUGGGGAGCAAACAGGAUUAGAUACCCCCGUAGUCCCUGUCUCUUAUAC
This 301-nucleotide ribosomal RNA is filed under the name uncultured bacterium. Its description in RNAcentral is "partial 16S ribosomal RNA". It matches the Rfam family "Bacterial small subunit ribosomal RNA", at positions 509 to 807 of the family's 1533-position model. The record is from RNAcentral.